Molecule: ribosomal RNA, 498 nt
Filed under: uncultured bacterium
Lineage: Bacteria
Description: partial 16S ribosomal RNA
Rfam family: Bacterial small subunit ribosomal RNA
Source: RNAcentral
AUUGAACGCUGGCGGCAUGCCUUACACAUGCAAGUCGAACGGUAACGCGGGGCAACCUGGCGACGAGUGGCGAACGGGUGAGUAAUGCAUCGGAACGCGCCCAGAAGUGGGGGAUAGCCCGGCGAAAGCCGGAUUAAUACCGCAUGAGACCUGAGGGUGAAAGCGGGGGAUCGCAAGACCUCGCGCUUUUGGAGCGGCCGAUGUCAGAUUAGCUAGUUGGUGGGGUAAAGGCCUACCAAGGCGACGAUCUGUAGCUGGUCUGAGAGGACGACCAGCCACACUGGGACUGAGACACGGCCCAGACUCCUACGGGAGGCAGCAGUGGGGAAUUUUGGACAAUGGGCGCAAGCCUGAUCCAGCCAUGCCGCGUGCGGGAAGAAGGCCUUCGGGUUGUAAACCGCUUUUGUCAGGGAAGAAACGCUCUGGGCUAAUACCCUGGGGUAAUGACGGUACCUGAAGAAUAAGCACCGGCUAACUACGUGCCAGCAGCCGCCGUAA